This 254-nucleotide ribosomal RNA is filed under the name uncultured bacterium. RNAcentral describes it as "partial 16S ribosomal RNA". It matches the Rfam family "Bacterial small subunit ribosomal RNA", at positions 524 to 776 of the family's 1533-position model. The record is from RNAcentral.
UACGGAGGGUGCAAGCGUUAUCCGGAUUCACUGGGUUUAAAGGGCGCGUAGGCGGCCACCGCAAGUCAAUUGUGAAAUCUCCGGGCUUAACUCGGAAAGGUCAACUGAUACUGCGGGGCUAGAGUGCGGAAGGGGCAACUGGAAUUCUCGGUGUAGCGGUGAAAUGCGUAGAUAUCGAGAGGAACACCUGCGGCGAAGGCGGGUUGCUGGGCCGACACUGACGCUGAUGCGCGAAAGCCAGGGGAGCGAACGGG